Long non-coding RNA from Gallus gallus (chicken), 1638 nucleotides. RefSeq lists it as uncharacterized. The record is from RefSeq and is a predicted model, not a curated record. The transcript is spliced from 3 exons. NCBI's taxonomy places the organism in Eukaryota, Metazoa, Chordata, Aves, Galliformes, Phasianidae.
AUACUGAAAGGCUGCUCUCAGGUCCCCUCGGAGCCUUCUUUUCUCCGUGCUGAACAGCCCCAGCUCUCUCAGCCUGUACUUAUAGGAGAAGUGUUCCAUUUCAUGGAUCAUUGUUGUGGCCCUUCUCUGGAUGCAUUCCAACAGGUCUAUGUCUCUCAGUAUAGAUUAGGAUCCCAUCUGUACCAACAGCCACCACUGCUCUUUGCAAUCCUACUAUGACUGAAGAUCACAAGACGGGAGGAGACAUUCACUGUUUCAUACUGAAAGAUGGUUUUAUCCCUGUCUAGAGGAUGGAAAAUACAUGACAGAAUGGACUUCAGAAGUAACAGAGGAAGUCCUUGCUUCUAGAGCUGUCACUGAAGGCAGCAUAUGGCUCUCCUGCAGUCGGGGAAGGAUCCCACAGUGUGACCUAGCUAGCCUCCACACCUCUGAUUCCUGUUACCCCUGCACAGAGGUUACCACUUUCAGCUAGGAGGCUCUGUGCAGCGCCCAUUCCCCGGAGUGCUUAUCUGGUAAGUUACCUUAACCCAGGCUAAUGAGCAGAGCAGCCAGUAAAAGGAAUCCCAGGGGCGGGUGGAUGGGUGAGGAGCUGCAUUAGCUGAUCACUAACGUUGUUUAUUUCUGUGUAAAAAUAAAAGGCCAUGAGCUGUGAUUGUGUACAUCUGCAGUCAGUCAGUGCUUGGUCUUGAGGAUGAAGACAAAAUCAAAAGACAGCAAGAUGUACCAGAAGGCUGAACAGACUUACAGAGUCAGAACUGAAAGUGCAUGUGGUCUGAAGAAUCUCAUUUUUAGGGCAAAUAUUGGUAGUAAUAAAAGCAUCGCUAUUGACUUGGGGUCAAAACUUCAGUCAUUUCUGCCAUCACAUGUCCUACUGUAACCACUUCUGAGAUGCUGGAGAACUGCUGUAAUAUUCAUAUUCUAACAACUUAGAUAAAAAGACUGAUAGCAGUCCUGUUUCCUUAAGCCAGUUACAUCCUACCUGCAGCCUGUGAGCUGCACACUGCCUGGCCCAGCGUGCAAUUUGGCUACUGUCUGCCUGUGCCAUCAUGGCGGCCCUGGGCGUGCACCCAUUCCUCAGCAACAACCAAACAUCAGUGUGCUAUUAACGCUGUCUGGGAUGAAACCAGGGUACAGGGAGGACAGUGCUGUGCCGUGCUGUGCUGACUCAGGCAAUGGCAAAUAAUUGUAUGUAUUUUGAUACAUUGCCUAAGUGCAGUCCUGUGAAAAGUGUGCAGCCCUGUUUUCCAUUCUGACAAAGGAAAUUUGAGAACAGGCUUCAAGAUUUCAAAAAAAAUAUAUUUAGUUCAUCAAUAUAUUUGCAACUCCAUUUUCAUUUGACAUAAAUACAUUUUCAAAUGGAAUGUAUGGAGUUGCAAUCAGAUAUUCAAUUCAAAAAUCUGAUCAUGUCCCUUUAUCAGACUUUUAUAGGAAAGAAAUAUCCCUCACUUCACAAUCAUGCCUUAUUCAUGUCAUCACUUUUGGCAGUACGCACAUUUGUGAACAAAUUUUGCCAAGGAUGAAGCACAGAAAGUGUAAAAUUUCAUCAAAAAUCUCUGAUGAGUACCUUGAGACCUCAAGAGUUGCCACCACUGCCAUCACAGCAGACUGACACAUUAGCUUCACAAAAACAAAGCCAAA